RNAcentral lists this long non-coding RNA (1112 nucleotides) under Ananas comosus (pineapple). RNAcentral describes it as "long non-coding RNA (ACOM_LNC026181)". The record is from RNAcentral. Lineage: Eukaryota; Viridiplantae; Streptophyta; Magnoliopsida; Poales; Bromeliaceae.
UAAUUAUCUAUAUACCCCCCAAAAUAUUCCAAAAUAUCUAAUACACCCUUUUCAUUUUUGGUUCAAAUAUACCCCUCCUAUAUAUCUUGAUUAUUAAAAAGUAAACCCGCCAUUAGUACCCGUAAAGUGAGUAGAGCUACUAUACUAUUGAAAGCACAAAGGAUAUGGUACUUUCGACUUUUUGGCCCUUAAAUCAACCCUUUUGAUAAUUUCUAACCUUUGGAUUAAUACUGUUAUUCUCUAAAAAUCACUAAACUCUAGAAGUACUACUCAACCUUAUUAGGGAAGACCGCAAUCAUUCCAACGGUACAAUUCUUGAUCCAAGGAUCAAAAAAUCGACAGCAUCAAAUUCUCUAUGCUUCCGAUAGUAUAGUAGCUCUACACCCGGUUAAGUCACCUCGAGUUAAAUCUGAGUUAAACUUCUAUAAGAAUUACAAAGAAAUCAAGAUACCUAACGUCGGUGACGGUAAAAAAAACAGUAUAUUUGAAAAGGUAAAAUGUUAAAAUACUUAUUUUGUCCAUAAUUUAAAAUAAAUAAAAAAAAUGGUGACAAUAGAAGAGAAUAUUUGAAAGAAUAAAAUAGUAAUUUUACAGAGAUAAUGAUUGUUCCUAAUGGUUCACGUUAACAUAAUAGGGUAUAUUUGAAGAACUUGUAACGUUAAAAUAAUAUUUUUUAUAUUAGUUUUCUAAACGGAAUGAAUAAAAAAGUUUGAAACUUUUUAUGGAUAUAUAAGUAAUUGCGCUAAAAAUGGAAAUGUAGAAAAUUUACUUACACAAUAUACUAUUUUGGUUUAAUUAUUCAUUUUUUUAAAAAUUAUGAAGGUAAAGAUGUAUAAAAUUUAUUUGAACUUUUGAUUAUGUGGAUCUUGACUAUCCAACCUUUCAGUUUAUUUGAUUUGAUUCAGAUAAUAAUACUUUGACUCUAAAAUUUUAGCUAAUUAUUUAUUUUAAUAAAAUUAUCUUUGUGAUAAAUGCAUGGAAUAUACUAACUGAACCUAUAAAGAUAAAAAACAUAUUCAAAUUUUGACAGAUUAACUAGCCAAAUCUAAAUAGUCUACAGUUCAGAUAAGUUGCGUACGAAUUACCUUUUUUAUUCUAAUAUCUAAAAUUUU